This 376-nucleotide ribosomal RNA is filed under the name uncultured bacterium. RNAcentral describes it as "bacterial SSU rRNA". It matches the Rfam family "Bacterial small subunit ribosomal RNA", at positions 521 to 896 of the family's 1533-position model. The record is from RNAcentral.
UAAUACGUAGGGAGCAAGCGUUGUUCAGAUUUACUGGGCGUAAAGCGUGCGUAGGCGGUUAUAUAAGUCAAAGGUGAAAUCUCCACUUUUAAGGUGGAAACUGCCUUUGAUACUGUAUAACUAGAGGGCAAGAGGGGGAAAUGGAACUCUGGGAGUAGCGGUGAAAUGCGUAGAUAUCCAGAGGAAGGCCGGUAGCGAAGGCGAUUUCCUGGCUUGCAUCUGACGCUGAGGCACCAAAGCUAGGGGAGCGAUCGGGAUUAGAGACCCCGGUAGUCCUAGCCCUAAACGAUGGGUACUAAGUGUGGGGGGAGCAUUACCCUCCGUGCUGAAGUUAACACGUUAAGUACCCCGCCUGGGGAUUACGGUCGCAAGACUG